Molecule: ribosomal RNA, 493 nt
Filed under: uncultured Pseudomonadota bacterium
Lineage: Bacteria; Pseudomonadati; Pseudomonadota
Description: bacterial SSU rRNA
Rfam family: Bacterial small subunit ribosomal RNA
Source: RNAcentral
UGGGGAAUAUUGGACAAUGGGGGAAACCCUGAUCCAGCGACGCCGCGUGGGUGAAGAAGGCCUGCGGGUUGUAAAGCCCUUUCAGUGGGGAAGAAAAGCCUCGAGCUAAUACCUCGGGGUCUUGACGUAACCCAUAGAAGAAGCACCGGCUAACUCUGUGCCAGCAGCCGCGGUAAUACAGAGGGUGCGAGCGUUAAUCGGAAUUACUGGGCGUAAAGCGCGCGUAGGCGGCUUUGCAAGUCGGGUGUGAAAUCCCCAGGCUUAACCUGGGAACUGCAUUCGAGACUGCAUUGCUAGAGUAUGGGAGAGGGAAGUGGAAUUUCAGGUGUAGCGGUGAAAUGCGUAGAUAUCUGAAGGAACAUCAGUGGCGAAAGCGACUUCCUGGACCAAUACUGACGCUCAUGUGCGAAAGCGUGGGGAGCAAACAGGAUUAGAUACCCUGGUAGUCCACGCCAUAAACGAUGAGAACUGGAUGUCGGGAGGGUCUGCCUCG